UACGAAGGGUGCAAACGUUGCUCGGAAUUAUUGGGCGUAAAGCGCACGUAGGCGGCGCUGCAAGUCGGAUGUGAAAUCCCUCGGCUUAACCAAGGAAGUGCAUCCGAAACUGCAGUGCUUGAGUACUUAAGAGGAUCGCGGAAUUCCCGGUGUAGAGGUGAAAUUCGUAGAUAUCAGGAGGAACACCGGUGGCGAAGGCGGAUCUCUGGGCCAUUACUGACGCUGAGGAGCGAAAGCGUGGGGAGCGAACAGG
Molecule: ribosomal RNA, 253 nt
Filed under: uncultured bacterium
Lineage: Bacteria
Description: partial 16S ribosomal RNA
Rfam family: Bacterial small subunit ribosomal RNA
Source: RNAcentral